UGAACGCUGGCGGUAGGCCUAACACAUGCAAGUCGAGCGGCAGCACAGUAAGAGCUUGCUCUUACGGGUGGCGAGUGGCGGACGGGUGAGGAAUACAUCGGAAUCUACUUUUUCGUGGGGGAUAACGUAGGGAAACUUACGCUAAUACCGCAUACGACCUACGGGUGAAAGCAGGGGAUCUUCGGACCUUGCGCGAUUGAAUGAGCCGAUGUCGGAUUAGCUAGUUGGCGGGGUAAAGGCCCACCAAGGCGACGAUCCGUAGCUGGUCUGAGAGGAUGAUCAGCCACACUGGAACUGAGACACGGUCCAGACUCCUACGGGAGGCAGCAGUGGGGAAUAUUGGACAAUGGGCGCAAGCCUGAUCCAGCCAUACUGCGUGGGUGAAGAAGGCCUUCGGGUUGUAAAGCCCUUUUGUUGGGAAAGAAAAGCAGCAGGUUAAUACCCCGCUGUUCUGACGGUACCCAAAGAAUAAGCACCGGCUAACUUCGUG
RNAcentral lists this ribosomal RNA (490 nucleotides) under uncultured bacterium. Its description in RNAcentral is "partial 16S ribosomal RNA". It matches the Rfam family "Bacterial small subunit ribosomal RNA", at positions 30 to 507 of the family's 1533-position model. The record is from RNAcentral.